CUUAUAUGAUCACCAAAGUUAAGCAAGAUUGAGCCUGAUCAGUACUUAUGUGGGUGACCAUUUGGGAAUACCAGGUACUGUAAG
Acanthosepion pharaonis is the source of this 84-nucleotide non-coding RNA. NCBI's taxonomy places the organism in Eukaryota, Metazoa, Mollusca, Cephalopoda, Sepiida, Sepiidae. The record is from the annotation of a GenBank genome assembly.